GGCCAAAUCCAUGAAUUUUGAGCCAGAUCACUGCUGACUUAGAAAAAGAGUUAGUGAGACCAAGAGAUGCUCACACUCAAAGACCUGUGUGGCUUACAGCAAAGUGUCUUCUUCUUCUCUCAGUAAUUUCUACAACGCUGUAUGAAGUGGGCGGAAAGGGACAACAGUAUCCGUGCAUAAGAAACAGAAUCAGGCUGGUGGCUGUGGCGGGGGUUGCAUGCUUGCCUAGCCUGGGCUUAAUCUCACCCAGCUCUGGAGAAGGAAGGCUGCAGUGUACAGCAGCAUGGCAGCAUGUCUGGAUGGUUUGCAUUGGCCUCAGCAAUUCCCGGGAGGAUCUCUGGGGGUGGGGGGGUCGGCACUGCCAUCACAGGGCUUGUUAGGAUGGGAAUGGGAUGACUCUUGUCCUGGGGCUGUGGAGUCGAUGGGCAACAGUUAGAGGGCUGAAAUACAGAACUCCGAACUCCGACACAAUAUCAAGUUUCUCUUCUCCCGAGAACAGUUAGGAAAGUCCGUGUUUUGGACUCUGGCUUGACCUUAUCUUGAAAGAAGAAAGAAAAGCCUACAUAAGUUGCCAUGAUGUAAGAUGGGCCAGCUAAGUCGUAUGUUGGAGUAUGCUGCUGUCCAGGCAGCAUCCAGAAGGGGUAGGGCUGAGCCUUGGUCCUCCGUAACGGUUUGUGUCUUGUGGGUGGCCCCUCACGUGUGCCUCGUCAGCUUUCGAGUGCUUACUCUUUCAGUUGGCCUUGGUGGUGGCUCAGCACCGCGAUCGUACCAAUGUCCUGUCUGGCAUUAAGAUGGCAGCCCUAGAAGAGGGCCUGAAGAAGAUACUUUUAGCAGCAAA
This 838-nucleotide long non-coding RNA is filed under the name Rattus norvegicus (Norway rat). RNAcentral describes it as "long non-coding RNA NONRATT016696". Lineage: Eukaryota; Metazoa; Chordata; Mammalia; Rodentia; Muridae. The record is from RNAcentral.